UACGUAGGGGGCAAGCGUUGUCCGGAAUCAUUGGGCGUAAAGAGCGCGUAGGCGGCCCAGUAAGUCCGCUCUGAAAGUCAGGGGCUCAACCCCUGAAUGCGGGUGGAUACUGCUGGGCUAGAGUCCGGAAGAGGCGAGUGGAAUUCCUGGUGUAGCGGUGAAAUGCGCAGAUAUCGGGAAGAACACCCGUGGCGAAGGCGGCUCUCUGGGACGGUACUGACGCUGAGACGCGAAAGCGUGGGGAGCGAACAGG
Molecule: ribosomal RNA, 253 nt
Filed under: uncultured bacterium
Lineage: Bacteria
Description: partial 16S ribosomal RNA
Rfam family: Bacterial small subunit ribosomal RNA
Source: RNAcentral